GUUACGCCUCAUUUUACGAGCCUCGGAACCACUCCGACCUCCCGAAGCCUCUCCGAAGUGAUACACCAAUUCCUGUCACUGAUCUGCCGAAGUGUCCCGUCUCCGACCCCGUUAGAAGAUUCGCUGCCAAUUUAAGAUUUGCUCUGCAUAUAAGGUUUAAAUUGAUGUGACGUCCCCCAUAAAGCUAUUUGAUGUGACUUAUCAACUUUAUGUCAAUUCAACUCGGGGGAAACAAACUGUCCGCCCACUCUACAAGCGCGGCUGAUUGACGCCUAUGAGCAGACGCUUCAUACCGUCAGAUGUAUACACGCGUUCCACAUCCCACGGUUCAUACCACCUAUAAAUACCCAAAGAUUGCCCAGAUGCAAAUGUAAUGAAACUCUCAAU
Molecule: long non-coding RNA, 387 nt
Filed under: Olea europaea (common olive)
Lineage: Eukaryota; Viridiplantae; Streptophyta; Magnoliopsida; Lamiales; Oleaceae
Description: long non-coding RNA (OEUR_LNC006386)
Source: RNAcentral